GUAGUGACGAAAAAUAACGAUAUGGGACUCAUCCGAGGCCCCAUAAUCGGAAUGAAUACACUUUAAAUCCUUUAACGAGGAUCCAUUAGAGGGCAAGUCUGGUGCCAGCAGCCGCGGUAAUUCCAGCUCUAAUAGCGUAUAU
Molecule: ribosomal RNA, 142 nt
Filed under: Hypotyphlus aubei
Lineage: Eukaryota; Metazoa; Arthropoda; Insecta; Coleoptera; Carabidae
Description: partial 18S small subunit ribosomal RNA
Rfam family: Eukaryotic small subunit ribosomal RNA
Source: RNAcentral